RNAcentral lists this transfer RNA (75 nucleotides) under Sphingomonas sp. Its description in RNAcentral is "tRNA-Ser". It matches the Rfam family "tRNA", at positions 10 to 71 of the family's 71-position model. From Rfam's summary of the family: Transfer RNA (tRNA) molecules are approximately 80 nucleotides in length. Their secondary structure includes four short double-helical elements and three loops (D, anti-codon, and T loops). Further hydrogen bonds mediate the characteristic L-shaped molecular structure. tRNAs have two regions of fundamental functional importance: the anti-codon, which is responsible for specific mRNA codon recognition, and the 3' end, to which the tRNAs corresponding amino acid is attached (by aminoacyl-tRNA synthetases). tRNAs cope with the degeneracy of the genetic code in two manners: having more than one tRNA (with a specific anti-codon) for a particular amino acid; and 'wobble' base-pairing, i.e. permitting non-standard base-pairing at the 3rd anti-codon position. The record is from RNAcentral. Lineage: Bacteria; Pseudomonadati; Pseudomonadota; Alphaproteobacteria; Sphingomonadales; Sphingomonadaceae.
GCGUAAUGGUGCGCAAAAGUGAUCGCGAGACUUCUAAUCUUGAGGCCGCUGGUUCGAAUCCAGCCGGGCGCACCA